CUAAUGAUCGUCGCUGACGGUGCCUCCGCAAGGAGGUGAAAAGGGAACGCGGUGCGGGCUUGCCUGCCCAAUGCCGCGGCUGCCCCCGCAACUGUAAGCGGGUGUCCCUCGCCAUCGGCCACUGGAGUUCGCUCCGGGAAGGCGGUGGGGGAUGUCGAACCCGUGAGCCAGGAGACCUGCCGUCGACCCGCAGAGAUCC
Molecule: non-coding RNA, 199 nt
Filed under: Hyphomicrobiales bacterium
Lineage: Bacteria; Pseudomonadati; Pseudomonadota; Alphaproteobacteria; Hyphomicrobiales
Source: RNAcentral